This 237-nucleotide long non-coding RNA is filed under the name Carica papaya (papaya). RNAcentral describes it as "long non-coding RNA (CPAP_LNC000824)". Lineage: Eukaryota; Viridiplantae; Streptophyta; Magnoliopsida; Brassicales; Caricaceae. The record is from RNAcentral.
AGAACCCCCACACCAGACCACAAACCCUAACCGCCAGCCGCUCGCCGGAGAAGACGAACCAGAGGCCGACCGCCGCCACCCGCCGCCACUCGCCGCCGCACCGGGGAAAUUUCCGACCGCCGAUCGAGGUAAAUUUCAUACCCCCGACUCGUUUUUCCCCGCUGAUUCCUCCUAUGGCCAAAUCGAAGCCGAAAUCCCGGCCAAACGGCCGGAAUACGCGGCCGAAGCCCAGCGGCG